This 916-nucleotide ribosomal RNA is filed under the name uncultured marine bacterium. RNAcentral's name for it is "bacterial SSU rRNA". It matches the Rfam family "Bacterial small subunit ribosomal RNA", at positions 8 to 916 of the family's 1533-position model. The record is from RNAcentral.
AGAGUUUGAUCCUGGCUCAGAUUGAACGUUGGCGGCAGGCCUUAAACAUGCAAGUCGAACGGUAACAGCGGAGCUUGCUCCGGCUGACGAGUGGCGGACGGGUGAGUAACGCGUAGGAAUCUACCCAGUAGCGGGGGAUAGCCCGGGGAAACCCGGAUUAAUACCGCAUACGCCCUACGGGGGAAAGGGGGCCUCUUCAUGAAAGCUCUCACUAUUGGAGGAGCCUGCGUUGGAUUAGCUAGUUGGUGGGGUAAAAGCCUACCAAGGCGACGAUCCAUAGCUGGUCUGAGAGGACGAUCAGCCACACUGGAACUGAGACACGGUCCAGACUCCUACGGGAGGCAGCAGUUAGGAAUAUUGUGCAAUGGGGGAAACCCUGACGCAGCCAUGCCGCGUGUGUGAGGAAGGCCCUAGGGUUGUAAAGCACUUUCAGUAGGGAGGAAUUAGCAAGGCUAAUACUCUUGUGAAAUGACGUUACCUACAGAAGAAGAUCCGGCUAACUCCGUGCCAGCAGCCGCGGUAAUACGGAGGGAUCGAACGUUAAUCGGAAUUACUGGGCGUAAAGCGCGCGUAGGCGGCUUGUUAAGUGGGAUGUGAAAGUCCCGGGCUCAACCUGGGAACUGCAUUCCAAACUGACAGACUUGAGUACGAUAGAGGGGGGUAGAAUUCAGAGUGUAGCGGUGAAAUGCGUAGAUAUUCUGAGGAAUACCGGUGGCGAAGGCGGCCCCCUGGAUUGAUACUGACGCUGAGGUGCGAAAGCGUGGGGAGCAAACAGGAUUGGAUACCCUGGUAGUCCACGCCGUAAACGAUGUCUACUAGCCGUUGGGAGGCUUGACCUUUUAGUGGCGAAGCUAACGCGAUAAGUAGACCGCCUGGGGAGUACGGUCGCAAGAUUAAAACUCAAAGGAAUUGACGG